This 469-nucleotide ribosomal RNA is filed under the name uncultured bacterium. RNAcentral's name for it is "partial 16S ribosomal RNA". It matches the Rfam family "Bacterial small subunit ribosomal RNA", at positions 28 to 507 of the family's 1533-position model. The record is from RNAcentral.
GACGAACGCUGGCGGCGUGCUUAACACAUGCAAGUCGAACGGAAAGGCCCUGCUUGCCGGGUGCUCGAGUGGCGAACGGGUGAGUAACACGUGGGUGAUCUGCCCCUUACUUUGGGAUAAGCCUGGGAAACUGGGUCUAAUACUGGAUAGGACCAUGCUGUAGGUGGUGUGGUGGAAAGAUUAGUUUCGGUAAGGGAUGAGCUCGCGGUCUAUCAGCUUGUUGGUGGGGUAAUGGCCUACCAAGGCGUCGACGGGUAGCCGGCCUGGGAGGGUGGACGGCCACAUUGGGACUGAGAUACGGCCCAGACUCCUACGGGAGGCAGCAGUGGGGAAUAUUGCACAAUGGGCGCAAGCCUGAUGCAGCGACGCCGCGUGGGGGAUGACGGCCUUCGGGUUGUAAACUCCUUUCAGCCAUGACGAAGCCCUUGUGGUGACGGUAGUGGUAGAAGAAGCACCGGCUAACUACGUG